UCGGGUUGGUGUUAGGGGUCAGAGGUCAGGGCUCGGGUUGGUUUUAGGGCUCAGAGGUCAGGCCUCGGGUAGCAGGCUCGGGUUGGUUUUAGGGCUCAGAGGUCAGGGCUCGGGUAGCGGGCUCGGGUUGGUUUUAGGGCUCAGAGGUCAGGGCUCGGGUAGUCGGGCUCGGGUUGGUUUUAGGGCUCAGAGGUCAGGGCUCGGGUUGGUGUUAGGGGUCAGAGGUCAGGGCUCGGGUAGCCGGGCUCGGUUUGGUUUUAGGGCUCA
Molecule: long non-coding RNA, 267 nt
Organism: Chelonia mydas (Green sea turtle)
Lineage: Eukaryota; Metazoa; Chordata; Testudines; Cheloniidae
Exons: 3
Source: RefSeq, a predicted model, not a curated record